Molecule: ribosomal RNA, 252 nt
Filed under: uncultured Sulfobacillus sp.
Lineage: Bacteria; Bacillati; Bacillota; Clostridia; Eubacteriales; Clostridiales Family XVII. Incertae Sedis
Description: partial 16S ribosomal RNA
Rfam family: Bacterial small subunit ribosomal RNA
Source: RNAcentral
GACGUAGGGGGCAAGCGUUGUCCGGAAUGACUGGGCGUAAAGGGCGUGUAGGCGGUCCGUCACGUAGCGGUUUUCAGCCGCCGGCUUAACCGGCGGAGGGCGGCUAAACGGGCGAGCUGGAGGGCAGGAGAGGUGCACGGAAUUCCUGGUGGAGCGGUGAAAUGCGUAGAGAUCAGGAAGAACACCCGUGGCGAAGGCGGUGCACUGGCCUGGCCCUGACGCUGAGGCGCGACAGCGUGGGGAGCGAACGGG